AUUGAACGCUGGCGGCAGGCCUAACACAUGCAAGUCGAGCGGAUGAAGGGAGCUUGCUCCUGGAUUCAGCGGCGGACGGGUGAGUAAUGCUUAGGAAUCUGCCUGGUAGUGGGGUAUAACGUCCGGAAACGGGCGCUAAUACCGCAUACGUCCUGAGGGAGAAAGUGGGGGAUCUUCGGACCUCACGCUAUCAGAUGAGCCUAGGUCGGAUUAGCUAGUUGGUGGGGUAAAGGCCUACCAAGGCGACGAUCCGUAACUGGUCUGAGAGGAUGAUCAGUCACACUGGAACUGAGACACGGUCCAGACUCCUACGGGAGGCAGCAGUGGGGAAUAUUGGACAAUGGGCGAAAGCCUGAUCCAGCCAUGCCGCGUGUGUGAAGAAGGUCUUCGGAUUGUAAAGCACUUUAAGUUGGGAGGAAGGGCAGUAAGUUAAUACCUUGCUGUUUUGACGUUACCAACAGAAUAAGCACCGGCUAACUUCGUG
Molecule: ribosomal RNA, 484 nt
Filed under: uncultured bacterium
Lineage: Bacteria
Description: partial 16S ribosomal RNA
Rfam family: Bacterial small subunit ribosomal RNA
Source: RNAcentral